Molecule: long non-coding RNA, 3254 nt
Filed under: Panax ginseng (ginseng)
Lineage: Eukaryota; Viridiplantae; Streptophyta; Magnoliopsida; Apiales; Araliaceae
Description: long non-coding RNA (PGIN_LNC017085)
Source: RNAcentral
ACGGAUUUUGAUAUCUUCUGUUUUGUGUAAAAAUAGGUAACUAUUGCGUACCUCUGCUGAGAUGUCAAAACACGAUCUUGAACAUCUAUUCAUCUUCUCGUCCGGAUGCAUUUUCAUCCGAAAUUUUUAUUGGGAUCAUCAUCUCACAAAACUUUGGAUGUUCUUCUGGCAAAACAUUAUUUGUACCUUGGAUUUGAUCAUCCUUUCAGUCAGUAGAGUAAGUCCUUUGCAACAGCUUCUGGUUUUUGCUGAUUGCGUGCUUGGGUCCAAGUUUUUUUUUUUUUUUUCAUUUCAUUUCCUAAUUGGGGAGGGAGUUCACUCAAUAUUGUAAUUCAAGGAAAAUAAGCUUGUAUGAUUGAUGAAUCUAGGUUUCAUGUCUUGAUAUAUAUAAACUUGGCUGUUCAUCAAAGAGCCCUAACAAAUUGAGAUCUCUUGACCUUGCUAUUAGCUGAAGGCAUUGAUAUAAGUUGGGGUAUUGUGUAUCAUUAUCUGUAUGUAUAUAUAUAUAUAGGGGUCAGGUUACAUAAUUCUCUUAUCAUCUGCUUGGUUCAGUUAUACUGAAAACUGCAUGAACAUUAUCCAAGCUGAUAUCUUCAUGACAUUCAAUUCCCACACACAAGCUCAGAAAAUGUUUGAAACCAAUUAUUCUCAACAAUCUCUUAUAUUGAGAGUUUUAGUAAUUUUACGUCAAAAAUUUUUGUUGGUCGAGAUCAAAUGUUACCCUUGUGGGGAUUAGUAUCAAAUAUUCCGGAGAUGAGCUUCUUUUUGUACUCUGUAUAUGAAAAAUCUUGGAUAUAUGUAUCUUCCUCAACUUGGAAAUUUAAAACUUGACGGCUUGACAAGCUUGACGGCUUCGACCGUCGGGAGAUAGCUCAGGCGUAAGAGUCAGUACAGGCGAUUACAAGGUUAACAAUGGAGGAUAAAAUAUCUAGUGUAUUGAGAGAGAAAAAAAUAUCAGUUACCUUUACUUGGACGACCUCCUUGCUAUGUUAUACUCUCUAGCCCGGUUUACCGUGCCACCCACUACCGUCAGACACUGCUCCCCACUACUCAGUGAUCGCAGCCAACAACAUGCCGACUGUCACCUUUUUCAUACUGUUUCUACCGCCGGCCGACUAUAAUCUCAUCCACAUUAAUGAUCUGCAGGCCACUCGGUCAACAGCCUUCCUUUUUCAUCAUUACAAGUCAAAGAUGGAGAUAUUAAAAUAUCUAGUGGGUUAGCCCACUCAAGUUGGCCCAAGUCUUUCAAGAUAUGUUCAUGAGGAUUAACUAAACUGGCCCAACUGACCAAGCCCAAUAGAGAUGACCCAAGAGAUUUAAUCAAAUGAACAGGCCCAAUCUACUCGGCCCAAUAUGUGAAAUAUCAUGACCUAACAUUGCCCCCUAGUUUUUUAUUCAACAAACUAUUUAAUAGAAAACUAUAAAUUACCCAUGAUAUGAAGAAUUUAAUAAAAUCAAAAGAUGCCCAAAUUAAACUUUAUCAAGGCCCAAACGGUAAGGAAGUAGAAUGAUAGGAUAAAUUGAAACCGGAAACCCAACUGAAAGGCCCAAAAGUUUAAAAAUGAAGGAUUGAACCAAACGAUACCCUUUCAAAUUCAUGAUUAUGACUGUCAAUUAAAUGUGCCGCCCUCGUGUACCGUGUAACCGUCAGUAUAAAAAGUAAACUUCACCAAACUUGACAGUUUUACCUGCCAAUUUGAAAUUUAGACGCUUGAGCUCUCUUAUUCUCUCUCGAACGUUUCUUCCCUUCUCUGCAAAAUUUCAACAAUGGUGGUCCUUAAUACGAAUCAGAUCUCCCCAAUUCGGGCAACCCCUCAUACUGUCGUUCCACCUAACCCAGGUCCCAACGAAGAAGCUUCGAGUUCUAACCCUCAAGCUGCGAAAUCAAGCACGAAUCCACCUCCAAACCUACUCCCUAUGAAUUCUUCAGAAGUAAGGAGCGUUUUUCACACGCCAAUACCCCUUCUGAAAUAACAGAGAUUGGUUUAAAGAAAAUCCGUACUCGAUAUCAAAUCUCUGAUACCAUCAGGUGAGAGCUCCACGGUCUGAAGAGCGAAUGUAUCAACGACCGGAAGGUUGGACGGCCGUUCCAGUGACCCUUCUGGAGAAAGGGGUUCGAUUCCCUUUGCACAUUUUCUUGAUUACCUUUCUAGGGUUUAUCGGCGUUGGAUUUGCCCAGUUGGUGCCGAACUCCUACAUUCAUAUCAUCGCCUUCAUCGCUUUUUGCCACGAAGUAGGAGUAGAGCCCACUCUUGACUUCUUCUUCACUAUUUACAAGAUUGGCCAAACCCGGGAAAAAGGGUUUAAGGCUUUGAGCAAAUUACCAUCGAAGUCAGGUGAGAAGUUCGAAAGACGCUCUCUAAUCAAUACUCCUUCCAGCAAUAGAGGAUGGCAUAAAGGGUGUUCUUCAUCAAAGGACCAGAAAUUGCUUCCUUACCGGGUUGGGUCACUGAAGAUGUAGUUUCUGCUGACUUCGGUGACAUCCCGGAAGAACGCGCAAGUGAAAUGAUAGAGCUGUUUAAAAACUUCCCAUCGAAAGAAUGGAAUUACUUGCUUCUUACUAAGCAAGCCUAGUUAUAUGAGCACAAAUGUAAGUUUUGAAUUAUUUGAUUGCACAAUUGUCUGAAAUUUUUAUUGAUAUAGAUUUUGACAUGUGACUUUCUGUUUUUCGUAGUAUCUUUGAUUAAACCGUCUUCUAUAGACGUGAGAUUAGCAAAUGGAUAAAUUUAAUAGGCUUUCAGAAACAUAUAUACCCAGCUCCUUUGCAGACUUGGAUAAAUCUAUGACAAUGUGUGGGUGUUGACUCAAUUACCUGAGAUGGAUUUUGAUAUCUUCUGUUUUGUGUAAAAAUAGGUAACUAUUGCGUACCUCUGCUGAGAUGUCAAAACACGAUCUUGAACAUCUAUUCAUCUUCUCGUCCGGAUGCAUUUUCAUCCGAAAUUUUUAUUGGGAUCAUCAUCUCACAAAACUUUGGAUGUUCUUCUGGCGAAACAUUAUUUGUACCUUGGAUUUGAUCAUCCUUUCAGUCAGUAGAGUAAGUCCUUUGCAACAGCUUCUGGUUUUUGCUGAUUGCGUGCUUGGGUCCAAGUUUUUUUUUUUUUUUUCAUUUCAUUUCCUAAUUGGGGAGGGAGUUCACUCAAUAUUGUAAUUCAAGGAAAAUAAGCUUGUAUGAUUGAUGAAUCUAGGUUUCAUGUCUUGAUAUAUAUAAACUUGGCUGUUCAUCAAAGAGCCCUAACAAAUUGAGAUCUCUUGAC